This 1084-nucleotide ribosomal RNA is filed under the name uncultured Halorubrum sp. RNAcentral describes it as "bacterial SSU rRNA". It matches the Rfam family "Archaeal small subunit ribosomal RNA", at positions 337 to 1478 of the family's 1478-position model. The record is from RNAcentral. Lineage: Archaea; Methanobacteriati; Methanobacteriota; Halobacteria; Halobacteriales; Haloferacaceae.
GGGAGCAAUGUUAGGUGGGGCGACAAUGCGAUAGGGGGAUCCCAAGUGCACAAGCAUAGCGCCUGUGCUUUUCGGUACCCUAAGGCGGUACCAGAAUAAGGGCUGGGCAAGACCGGUGCCAGCCGCCGCGGUAAUACCGGCAGCCCAAGUGAUGGCCGAUCUUAUUGGGCCUAAAGCGUCCGUAGCUGGCCGCGCAAGUCCAUCGGGAAAUCCACCUGCUCAACAGGUGGGCGCCCGGUAGAAACUGCGUGGCUUGGGACCGGAAGGCGCGACGGGUACGUCCGGGGUAGGAGUGAAAUCCCGUAAUCCUGGACGGACCGCCGAUGGCGAAAGCACGUCGCGAGAACGGAUCCGACAGUGAGGGACGAAAGCCAGGGUCUCGAACCGGAUUAGAUACCCGGGUAGUCCUGGCCGUAAACAAUGUCUGCUAGGUGUGGCUCCCACUACGAGUGGGUGCUGUGCCGAAAGGAAGCCGCUAAGCAGACCGCCUGGGAAGUACGUCCGCAAGGAUGAAACUUAAAGGAAUUGGCGGGGGAGCACUACAACCGGAGGAGCCUGCGGUUUAAUUGGACUCAACGCCGGACAUCUCACCAGCAUCGACUGUAGUAAUGACGAUCAGGUUGAUGACCUUAUCCGAGCUUCAGAGAGGAGGUGCAUGGCCGCCGUCAGCUCGUACCGUGAGGCGUCCUGUUAAGUCAGGCAACGAGCGAGACCCGCACCCUUACUUGCCAGCAGUACCGCGAGGUAGCUGGGGACAGUAGGGGGACCGCCGUGGCUAACACGGAGGAAGGAACGGGCAACGGUAGGUCAGUAUGCCCCGAAUGUGCUGGGCAACACGCGGGCUACAAUGGUCGAGACAAAGGGUUCCCACUCCGAAAGGAGACGGUAAUCUCAUAAACUCUAUCGGAGUUCGGAUUGUGGGCUGCAACUCACCCACAUGAAGCUGGAUUCAGUAUGAAUCGCAUUGUCACAAGCGAGCGGUGAAUACUUUCCUGCGCCUUGAACACCCGUCCCGUCAACGAUUGUUUCUCGAAUGUCGCAAUUUGUGUAAGUGUCGGCUUGAGAUUUCGGUCCAAUGUUCGUU